UACGUAGGGUGCGAGCGUUGUCCGGAAUUACUGGGCGUAAAGCGCGUGUAGGCGGGUCGGCAAGUCAGGCGUGAAAUCCCCAGGCUCAACCUGGGAACUGCGCUUGAAACUGCCGGUCUUGAGUGUCGGAGAGGGUGGCGGAAUUCCUGGUGUAGAGGUGAAAUUCGUAGAUAUCAGGAGGAACACCGGUGGCGAAGGCGGCCACCUGGACGACAACUGACGCUGAGACGCGAAAGCGUGGGGAGCAAACAGG
This 253-nucleotide ribosomal RNA is filed under the name uncultured bacterium. Its description in RNAcentral is "partial 16S ribosomal RNA". It matches the Rfam family "Bacterial small subunit ribosomal RNA", at positions 524 to 776 of the family's 1533-position model. The record is from RNAcentral.